AACUCUCAACCCCCCUAUUUUGUAAUGAAAUGGGCGUGGGCUUGGAUUAUGGCUGUCUGUCGGCGUAAUUGCCGGCUCAGCUGAAAUACACGAGCAACCCUAUUGAAAUAGACGGUUUGACUUGGCGUAAUAAUUAUUUCGCUAAGGACGUCUUCUUCAAAUGUAAGAGGUGCUUCUAAUGCUUCAUCUAGAACUUUUAAGC
RNAcentral lists this unclassified non-coding RNA (202 nucleotides) under uncultured Cystobasidiaceae. RNAcentral describes it as "sequence contains ITS2". Lineage: Eukaryota; Fungi; Basidiomycota; Cystobasidiomycetes; Cystobasidiales; Cystobasidiaceae. The record is from RNAcentral.